This 427-nucleotide ribosomal RNA is filed under the name Arcopotamonautes bellarussus. RNAcentral describes it as "Potamonautes bellarussus partial 16S ribosomal RNA". Lineage: Eukaryota; Metazoa; Arthropoda; Malacostraca; Decapoda; Potamonautidae. The record is from RNAcentral.
UUUUUAAUUGAGAUCUUGUAUGAAUGAUUGGACAAAAGGAAAACUGUCUUUAUAUUAAAAUUUGAAUUUAACUUUUAAGUGAAAAGGCUUAAAUUUUCUAAAGGGACGAUAAGACCCUAUAAAACUUUACAUUAAAAUUAAUAUUUUAUUGAAUUUUUAUUAUAAUAAUUUAAUUUAAUUUUUUUGUUAUGUUGGGGAGACAAAAGCUAAAAUUUAUAUUAACUGCUUGGGAGAAAAACAAUAAUAAAUGAGUUACAGUUUAUAGAUCCUUUAUAAAGAUUAAGAGAUUAAGUUACUUUAGGGAUAACAGCGUUAUUUUUUUUUAGAGUUCAUAUCAAAAAAAAAGAUUGCGACCUCGAUGUUGAAUUAAAAUAUCUUUAUAAUGCAGGUGUUAUAAAANAAAGUCUGUUCGACUUUUAAUUUUUUA